AGUGAACGCUGGCGGUAGGCCUAACACAUGCAAGUCGAACGGCAGCACAGUAAGAGCUUGCUCUUACGGGUGGCGAGUGGCGGACGGGUGAGGAAUACAUCGGAAUCUACUUUUUCGUGGGGGAUAACGUAGGGAAACUUACGCUAAUACCGCAUACGACCUACGGGUGAAAGCAGGGGAUCUUCGGACCUUGCGCGAUUGAAUGAGCCGAUGUCGGAUUAGCUAGUUGGCGGGGUAAAGGCCCACCAAGGCGACGAUCCGUAGCUGGUCUGAGAGGAUGAUCAGCCACACUGGAACUGAGACACGGUGCAGACUCCUACGGGAGGCAGCAGUGGGGAAUAUUGGACAAUGGGCGCAAGCCUGAUCCAGCCAUACCGCGUGGGUGAAGAAGGCCUUCGGGUUGUAAAGCCCUUUUGUUGGGAAAGAAAAGCAGCAGGUUGAUACCCCGCUGUUCUGACGGUACCCAAAGAAUAAGCACCGGCUAACUUCGUG
RNAcentral lists this ribosomal RNA (492 nucleotides) under uncultured bacterium. Its description in RNAcentral is "partial 16S ribosomal RNA". It matches the Rfam family "Bacterial small subunit ribosomal RNA", at positions 29 to 507 of the family's 1533-position model. The record is from RNAcentral.